UACGUAGGGUGCAAGCGUUGUCCGGAAUUACUGGGCGUAAAGGGCUCGUAGGCGGCCAACUAAGUCAUACGUGAAAUCCCUCAGCUUAACUGGGGAACUGCGUGUGAUACUGGAUGGCUUGGAUUUGGGAGAGGGAUGCGGAAUUCCAGGUGUAGCGGUGAAAUGCGUAGAUAUCUGGAGGAACACCGGUGGCGAAGGCGGGUCUCUGGGCCGAUACUGACGCUGAGGAGCGAAAGCGUGGGGAGCGAACAGG
Molecule: ribosomal RNA, 253 nt
Filed under: uncultured bacterium
Lineage: Bacteria
Description: partial 16S ribosomal RNA
Rfam family: Bacterial small subunit ribosomal RNA
Source: RNAcentral